This 253-nucleotide ribosomal RNA is filed under the name uncultured bacterium. RNAcentral's name for it is "partial 16S ribosomal RNA". It matches the Rfam family "Bacterial small subunit ribosomal RNA", at positions 524 to 776 of the family's 1533-position model. The record is from RNAcentral.
UACGGAGGAUGCGAGCGUUAUCCGGAUUUAUUGGGUUUAAAGGGUGCGCAGGCGGAAGAUCAAGUCAGCGGUAAAAUUGAGAGGCUCAACCUCUUCGAGCCGUUGAAACUGGUUUUCUUGAGUGAGCGAGAAGUAUGCGGAAUGCGUGGUGUAGCGGUGAAAUGCAUAGAUAUCACGCAGAACUCCGAUUGCGAAGGCAGCAUACCGGGCGCUCAACUGACGCUCAUGCACGAAAGUGUGGGUAUCGAACAGG